RNAcentral lists this ribosomal RNA (574 nucleotides) under uncultured bacterium. RNAcentral describes it as "bacterial SSU rRNA". It matches the Rfam family "Bacterial small subunit ribosomal RNA", at positions 55 to 675 of the family's 1533-position model. The record is from RNAcentral.
AUGCAAGUCGAACGAACCUUCGGGUUAGUGGCGGACGGGUGAGUAACGCGUGAGAAUCUGCCCUCAGGAGGGGGACAACAGCUGGAAACGGCUGCUAAUACCCCAUAUGCCGCGAGGUGAAAUGAAUUUCGCCUGAGGAUGAGCUCGCGUCUGAUUAGCUAGUUGGUGUAGGUAAUGGCUCACCAAGGCAUCGAUCAGUAGCUGGUCUGAGAGGAUGAUCAGCCACACUGGGACUGAGACACGGCCCAGACUCCUACGGGAGGCAGCAGUGGGGAAUUUUCCGCAAUGGGCGAAAGCCUGACGGAGCAACGCCGCGUGAGGGAUGAAGGCCUCUGGGCUGUAAACCUCUUUUAUCAAGGAAGAAGAUCUGACGGUACUUGAUGAAUAAGCCACGGCUAAUUCCGUGCCAGCAGCCGCGGUAAUACGGGAGUGGCAAGCGUUAUCCGGAAUUAUUGGGCGUAAAGCGUCCGCAGGCGGCCCUUCAAGUCUGCUGUUAAAAAGUGGAGCUUAACUCCAUCAUGGCAGUGGAAACUGUUGGGCUUGAGUGUGGUAAGGGCAGAGGGAAUUCCCGGUG